Molecule: transfer RNA, 71 nt
Filed under: bacterium
Lineage: Bacteria
Description: tRNA-Ala
Rfam family: tRNA
About the family: Transfer RNA (tRNA) molecules are approximately 80 nucleotides in length.
Source: RNAcentral
GGGCCCAUAGUAAAGUGGUAUUACGCGUCGUUCGCAAUGACGAAGCCCGGGUUCAACUCCCGGUGGGUCCA